CACAUGCCUUUUGCAUGUUUUUAAAAUCUAACAGCUUGUUGUUUUCCCUUCUAGGGGACAAGAUUCUCUGGAUUACGUGUGGAAACACAGAACAUGUUCUUAAGUCUUGUACAAGUUUUCUCAUGUACUGACAUUUUGAUCAGCACCGGCACAUCAGUGACACGCUGUUGAGAAACAUGUUCUACUAAGGAGACGUGACAUUCUACGUGGAAGUGACAGUGACGUGACAGCAUCUGAUAGCUCUUUUCUGCAGUGUGGUGGCAAUGUUCUUCUGCAAUAACCCAUUUGCAGAGGAAUGAGCCUCCCCUAGGGACAGGAUUGACCAGCAGUGACAAACCAAGCCGUGAGUGGCCCUUGCUGCUUGUACCCCGUGAGAGAGGCGAUGUGUGUGCAGGGAGAGGUGCUGAGCAACUCUGGAAGCUCUUUUGAGGUGUGGAAUACCUGUAAAGCUCUGAAUGUGCCAGACCUGAAGGGAUAUAAACCAGGUGAGCUAUACUGUAUUCAGUAAAUUCUAGUAAUAAGUUGAAGGUGAAACCCUGAAAGGAGCAGAUGGAUGUAGCCUGGUUGACCACUGGACUCAGCGCUGCAGAGAAGCCGGGCCACAGAAAUCCCGUCUCGCUUAAUCAAUGGGAAAUCGGCAUCUGUGCUGCUGAUUUUGUUUGUUUGUGAUUCUUUGUAAAAUGUAAUCUUUACCAUUCAUUCAAUGUGUUUUCUUUUCUUGUGGCCACCACACAGUGUUUGUUUGAUCACGCUGAGAACCCAUAUCUUAUCUGGUCUGCUAACUUUUUCCUUUUGAAAGAGAUAAUGGAGGAAGGGGGAUCAGAGC
Long non-coding RNA from Columba livia (rock pigeon), 826 nucleotides. RefSeq lists it as uncharacterized. Lineage: Eukaryota; Metazoa; Chordata; Aves; Columbiformes; Columbidae. The transcript has 4 exons. The record is from RefSeq and is a predicted model, not a curated record.